AACGAACGCUGGCGGCAUGCCUAACACAUGCCGGUCGAACGAGACCUUCGGGUCUAGUGGCGCACGGGUGCGUAACGCGUGGGAACCUGCCCUUAGGUUCGGAAUAACUCCCCGAAAGGGGUGCUAAUACCGGAUAAUGUCUUCGGACCAAAGAUUUAUCGCCUUUGGAUGGGCCCGCGUUGGAUUAGCUAGUUGGUAGGGUAAAAGCCUACCAAGGCGACGAUCCAUAGCUGGUCUGAGAGGAUGAUCAGCCACACUGGGACUGAGACACGGCCCAGACUCCUACGGGAGGCAGCAGUGGGGAAUAUUGGACAAUGGGCGAAAGCCUGAUCCAGCAAUGCCGCGUGAGUGAUGAAGGCCUUAGGGUUGUAAGGCUCUUUUACCCGGGAUGAUAAUGACAGUACCGGGAGAAUAAGCUCCGGCUAACUCCGUG
Molecule: ribosomal RNA, 433 nt
Filed under: uncultured bacterium
Lineage: Bacteria
Description: partial 16S ribosomal RNA
Rfam family: Bacterial small subunit ribosomal RNA
Source: RNAcentral